UUACGGCCAUAUCACGUUAAAACAUCGGUUCCCGUAUGAUCACCGAAGUUAAGAAAGCUAGAGCCUGGUUGGUACCAAGAUGGGAAUACCUGGUGC
Molecule: non-coding RNA, 96 nt
Organism: Acanthosepion pharaonis
Lineage: Eukaryota; Metazoa; Mollusca; Cephalopoda; Sepiida; Sepiidae
Source: the annotation of a GenBank genome assembly